This is an RNA transcript of Mauremys mutica (yellowpond turtle), 3047 nucleotides long. It is a transcript of the gene named synaptotagmin like 3, with no coding region annotated. The record is from RefSeq and is a predicted model, not a curated record. The transcript has 18 exons. Lineage: Eukaryota; Metazoa; Chordata; Testudines; Geoemydidae.
AUAGGCCCGGCAGCGAGUGGGCCCCGCUGGGCUGGGCUUGCCUAGGCGGCCGCCCGCUCCUGGGGCCUGUUGGCCGGCCCCGCACCCCCGGCAGGUGGCGCAGCCCCCGUGGGGGAUGGUGCGUGAUCAGCAGGACGCUGCCUGGCCCGGGCCCCGGCUGCAGGAACAGCAGUGUUUUGGAGCCUGUGACAGCAGCAGCAACCAUCCCCUGAGCCAGGUCCCUGUUGGCUGCCACGGGGUCACCAUCUACAGAUGUUUUACUCCAAAAGAGUGGGGAGAAGAUCAGUUUUUUUCAGUAAAGAAGAAGUGAACUCCUCAAUCUCCAAUGAACAGAUCUCUUCCUUCUGUGGCAGCUGAAAAGGUCCUGAACAAGAUACUAUUUUUAUUCUAGUCACUUCCUACUGUGAAAUUUCUGAAGCAAGAGGUCAAGUAAGACAAGCUGCUUUCCUCUCCUUCAUGCCCUUUUCCUGUGUGAAGGCUCCCUCAACCUGGUGAUUACAAAUAAAACCUUACUUUGGGCUAUUGUCAGUUUUGGAGCCACUCUCAGCAAAAAAAGAACUUUCAUAUGAAAGGCAGCAGACUGUUGUGACCCUGCUAAAUGACUGUGUUCAUCGGGGGCAGACACACUCUGGAAAUAAUAAUUUGCAUGGAGAUCAACAUUCUCAUUUUUUUUUCUUCAAGAGUAUGACACAGUAGAAAUGCAUCACCAAUGAAAUAACAGCACAGGCACUUAAAAGAAUUCAUAGACCUCCUGAGUGCUAUAUUAUACUCCAGACAACAUUAUUAUCUGUCAGCUUGGAUACAGUAGAACUGUGUAGUGCCGGGGUCUCCAAAGGAAGUGAAGUGUGGGGAAAAUGACCUGUGAACUGAAUCUGAACUUCCUUAAGGAAUUGGAACAAGAGACAGUUUUACAGGUCCUGUACCGUGACCAGAUGGUGAGAAAAGUGGAUGAGGAAAGGAUAAGGAAAUUGAAAAUGCAGUUGCAGCAGCUUCAGUGGAAGGGGGGAAAAAGUGUAAGCCAUGAAUACCAGGAAAGAUCCUGCGCUCGCUGUCAGAAAUCCUUGGGCCUGGUGAUGAAUAGAGGUGCAGUGUGCAAUGGAUGCAGUCAUCGAGUGUGCUCUGAGUGCCGUGUCUGCCUGAAUCCCUACCUGUGGAAAUGCACCAUCUGUUAUGCUCAUGGAGACAUGAAAGUAAAGACUGGGGAAUGGUUCUUUGAGGAACGUGCCAAGAAAUUCCCAGCUGAAGGUAGACACGAAACAGCUGGCGCAAAGCUCUUGAAAUCUUAUCAAAAACUGAGUAAAAUUUCUGUGGUUCCUCCUACUCCCCCUCCUUUCACUGAAACCACCGGGAGAAACACCACAAUGGAAAUCAGCCAAUCUAAAAGCUUUAAUAAGUCUGUGGAAAACUUGUUUCUGUCUCUUGCCACAAAUAUGAAAAAAAUCUCAAAGUCCCAGAAUGAUAUGAGGGCUGACAAAAGUCUCCUAACUACAGAUUAUGGGCAGGACAUGGAACGGAGGAAGGAAAGGAGAAGUCAGUCUGACACUGCCAUCGAUAUUGCAAACAGGAUAAAAAAUAUACCAACCCUUCAGCAACUCAUCAAUGGGACACGGGACGACAAUGAAGCCUUUACCAAAAGGUAUUGCAAGCAGGCAGAAGACAUUCCAACCAGUCCCAUGAGUGACACUGUAUUCUGCGGUGGCAAAAAACAUGGCAGUUUAUAUAGCAUUAACAGCACUUGCACCGAGGCUGGCAAUUUUGACACGGCUAAUGUCACAGGAGAAAUAGAGUUUGCCAUCAGAUACGUCUUUAAAGCCUGCACUUUAGAAGUCUGCAUCAAGGCCUGCAAGAACCUGGCUUACGGAGAAGAGAAGAAGAAAAAGUGUAACCCGUAUGCAAAGACUUAUUUGCUUCCCGAUAAAUCUUCCCGGAGUAAACGGAAGACAGCUGUUAAAAAGAACACAGUGGAUCCGGCAUUCCAUGAAACUUUAAAGUAUAAGAUUGAAUACUCCCAGCUGGAAACACGACAGCUUCAGAUAUCUGUGUGGCACUCAGAAACACUCAAGCGAAGGGUGUUCCUUGGAGAAGUGGUUGUUCCACUGGCGUCUUGGAAUUUUGAAGACAAUUCAACACAGUCAUUCAAUUGGUACCAGCUUAAAGUGAAGUCUGGAAAGCCUGAAGACAACCUGGUUCAGUACAAUGGAGAACUCCUGGUGUGUGCAAAACUGAUCUUACCAUCCCAGUCUAAAAAAUGCCAGUAUGAAGAGCAGAUGAGAGGAGGGAGAGAAGACCAAGCAUCUGCCGAUGGCCAGCUUCACCUUGUGGUGCUUGGAGCCAAGAACUUGCCUGUGAUGAGAUGUGGUGGCACUUUGAACUCAUUUGUUAAAGGUUGUCUCACUCUCCCGGACCAGCGUGAGAUAAGACAGAAGUCUCCUGUCCUGAAGAAAGAAGCCUGUCCUCAGUGGAAGCACCUGUUUGUCUUUGACGGCGUGACCCCAUCUCAGCUCCGGCAAUCUUGUCUGGACUUGGCCGUCUGGGACCAGGCAUCUUUUGGCUCAAAUGACCGGUUCCUGGGGGGAGCCAGGCUUAGCACAAAUUCAUGAUAGAGCUAGGUGUGGAGGACAAGUUUGAAGAAAGAAGGGGGGAGUGGUCCCAAUCUUGCAAGCACUUAUGCCUUUAACUUUUCACAUAAGAACCAUCUGGCACCUGGGAUUCAGACCCCCAAUCAAAACAUCAGUGGCAGAAAAUACUCAGCAGCCCAAACACUUGGAUAGAUAUUACACUUACGCUGCAUUCAGAUACGGACACUUAAGUCCUAAUAGCACCCAUGUGACAAGCAUAUCUUCCACGUGUGAGCAGUCGGAAAGUAUUGCCCAAGCAUUGUACUCAAGGUUAAGCAGCACGGCAUGCUCUCUGAUCCCUUCUGCCUUCUGGAAAGAAACAUACCUUUGAAAAGAGCUCUCCACACGUAAGCCACUUAUCUAUACAUAAAACAAAACUGUGUAAUUAGAAUCAUUACAAAACUAAUAAAAUAUUAAACUGUUACACUC